ACGGAAGGCGCAGUGGGGAAUUUUGCGCAAUGGGGGAAACCCUGACGCAGCAACGCCGCGUGCGGGACGGAGGCCUUCGGGCUGUAAACCGCUUUCAGCAGGGAAGACAUCGACGGUACCUGCAGAAGAAGCUCCGGCUAACUACGUGCCAGCAGCCGCGGUAAUACGUAGGGGGCGAGCGUUAUCCGGAUUCAUUGGGCGUAAAGCGCGCGUAGGCGGCUGCCUAAGCGGAGUUUCUAACCUUGGGGCUCAACCUCAAGCCGGACUCCGAACUGGGCGGCUCGAGUGCGGUAGGGGCAGGCGGAAUUCCACGUGUAGCGGUGAAAUGCGCAGAUAUGUGGAGGAACGCCGAUGGCGAAGGCAGCCUGCUGGGCCGACACUGACGCUGAGGCGCGAAAGCCGGGGGAGCGAACAGGAUUAGAUACCCUGGUA
RNAcentral lists this ribosomal RNA (432 nucleotides) under uncultured Adlercreutzia sp. Its description in RNAcentral is "partial 16S ribosomal RNA". It matches the Rfam family "Bacterial small subunit ribosomal RNA", at positions 341 to 792 of the family's 1533-position model. Lineage: Bacteria; Bacillati; Actinomycetota; Coriobacteriia; Eggerthellales; Eggerthellaceae. The record is from RNAcentral.